RNAcentral lists this transfer RNA (71 nucleotides) under Loxodonta africana (African savanna elephant). It matches the Rfam family "tRNA". Rfam says of the family: Transfer RNA (tRNA) molecules are approximately 80 nucleotides in length. Their secondary structure includes four short double-helical elements and three loops (D, anti-codon, and T loops). The record is from Rfam by way of RNAcentral. Lineage: Eukaryota; Metazoa; Chordata; Mammalia; Proboscidea; Elephantidae.
GCAGUGGUGGUUUCGUGGUAGAAUUCUUGCCUUGCAUGCAGGAAACCUGGGCUCGACACCUGGCCAGUGCA